AUUGAACGCUGGCGGAAUGCUUUACACAUGCAAGUCGAACGGCAGCACGGGGGCAGCCCUGGUGGCGAGUGGCGAACGGGUGAGUAAUACAUCGGAACGUGCCCGGUCGUGGGGGAUAACGUAGCGAAAGUUACGCUAAUACCGCAUACGAUCUGAGGAUGAAAGCGGGGGACCUUCGGGCCUCGCGCGAUCGGAGCGGCCGAUGUCAGAUUAGGUAGUUGGUGGGAUAAAGGCCUACCAAGCCGACGAUCUGUAGCUGGUCUGAGAGGACGACCAGCCACACUGGGACUGAGACACGGCCCAGACUCCUACGGGAGGCAGCAGUGGGGAAUUUUGGACAAUGGGCGCAAGCCUGAUCCAGCCAUUCCGCGUGCAGGACGAAGGCCUUCGGGUCGUAAACUGCUUUUGUACGGAACGAAAAGGCUCUGGCUAAUACCUGGGGCUCAUGACGGUACCGUAAGAAUAAGCACCGGCUAACUACGUG
Molecule: ribosomal RNA, 484 nt
Filed under: uncultured bacterium
Lineage: Bacteria
Description: partial 16S ribosomal RNA
Rfam family: Bacterial small subunit ribosomal RNA
Source: RNAcentral